RNAcentral lists this unclassified non-coding RNA (163 nucleotides) under uncultured Pyronemataceae. RNAcentral describes it as "sequence contains ITS2". The record is from RNAcentral. Lineage: Eukaryota; Fungi; Ascomycota; Pezizomycetes; Pezizales; Pyronemataceae.
AAAACCACUCAAGCGAUUUUGCUUGGUCUUGGAGGAAGAGCAGCCUUCCGGCAGCUCCCCUCUGAAAUACAAUGGCGGAUGGUCCCUUGAGCCCCGACGUAGUAAGAGCAAUCUUUCGUCGGAGAUCUUGGACACUCCUGCCCUCAAUCCCAAACUUUAUUAU